RNAcentral lists this ribosomal RNA (2905 nucleotides) under Klebsiella pneumoniae. RNAcentral describes it as "23S ribosomal RNA". It matches the Rfam family "Bacterial large subunit ribosomal RNA". The record is from RNAcentral. Lineage: Bacteria; Pseudomonadati; Pseudomonadota; Gammaproteobacteria; Enterobacterales; Enterobacteriaceae.
GGUUAAGCGACUAAGCGUACACGGUGGAUGCCCUGGCAGUCAGAGGCGAUGAAGGACGUGCUAAUCUGCGAAAAGCGUCGGUAAGGUGAUAUGAACCGUUAUAACCGGCGAUGUCCGAAUGGGGAAACCCAGUGCAAUUCGUUGCACUAUCGUUAACUGAAUACAUAGGUUAACGAGGCGAACCGGGGGAACUGAAACAUCUAAGUACCCCGAGGAAAAGAAAUCAACCGAGAUUCCCCCAGUAGCGGCGAGCGAACGGGGAGCAGCCCAGAGUCUGAAUCAGCUUGUGUGUUAGUGGAACGGUCUGGAAAGUCCGACGGUACAGGGUGAUAGUCCCGUACACCAAAAUGCACAGGCUGUGAACUCGAAGAGUAGGGCGGGACACGUGGUAUCCUGUCUGAAUAUGGGGGGACCAUCCUCCAAGGCUAAAUACUCCUGACUGACCGAUAGUGAACCAGUACCGUGAGGGAAAGGCGAAAAGAACCCCGGCGAGGGGAGUGAAAAAGAACCUGAAACCGUGUACGUACAAGCAGUGGGAGCACCUUCGGGUGUGACUGCGUACCUUUUGUAUAAUGGGUCAGCGACUUAUAUUCUGUAGCAAGGUUAACCGUAUAGGGGAGCCGCAGGGAAACCGAGUCUUAACUGGGCGUUAAGUUGCAGGGUAUAGACCCGAAACCCGGUGAUCUAGCCAUGGGCAGGUUGAAGGUUGGGUAACACUAACUGGAGGACCGAACCGACUAAUGUUGAAAAAUUAGCGGAUGACUUGUGGCUGGGGGUGAAAGGCCAAUCAAACCGGGAGAUAGCUGGUUCUCCCCGAAAGCUAUUUAGGUAGCGCCUCGUGAACUCAUCUUCGGGGGUUAGAGCACUGUUUCGGCUGGGGGUCAUCCCGACUUACCAACCCGAUGCAAAACUACGAAUACCGAAGAAUGUUAUCACGGGAGACACACGGCGGGUGCUAACGUCCGUCGUGAAGAGGGAAACAACCCAGACCGCCAGCUAAGGUCCCAAAGUCAUGGUUAAGUGGGAAACGAUGUGGGAAGGCACAGACAGCCAGGAUGUUGGCUUAGAAGCAGCCAUCAUUUAAAGAAAGCGUAAUAGCUCACUGGUCGAGUCGGCCUGCGCGGAAGAUGUAACGGGGCUAAACCAUGCACCGAAGCUGCGGCAGCGACACUAUGUGUUGUUGGGUAGGGGAGCGUUCUGUAAGCCUGCGAAGGUGUGCUGUGAGGCAUGCUGGAGGUAUCAGAAGUGCGAAUGCUGACAUAAGUAACGAUAAAGCGGGUGAAAAGCCCGCUCGCCGGAAGACCAAGGGUUCCUGUCCAACGUUAAUCGGGGCAGGGUGAGUCGACCCCUAAGGCGAGGCCGAAAGGCGUAGUCGAUGGGAAACAGGUUAAUAUUCCUGUACUUGGUGUUACUGCGAAGGGGGGACGGAGAAGGCUAUGUUAGCCGGGCGACGGUUGUCCCGGUUUAAGCAUGUAGGCUGAUUGUCCAGGCAAAUCCGGAUAAUCAAGGCUGAGGUGUGAUGACGAGGCACUACGGUGCUGAAGUAACAAAUGCCCUGCUUCCAGGAAAAGCCUCUAAGCAUCAGGUAACAUCAAAUCGUACCCCAAACCGACACAGGUGGUCAGGUAGAGAAUACCAAGGCGCUUGAGAGAACUCGGGUGAAGGAACUAGGCAAAAUGGUGCCGUAACUUCGGGAGAAGGCACGCUGGUGUGUAGGUGAAGUCCCUGCGGAUGGAGCUGAGACCAGUCGAAGAUACCAGCUGGCUGCAACUGUUUAUUAAAAACACAGCACUGUGCAAACACGAAAGUGGACGUAUACGGUGUGACGCCUGCCCGGUGCCGGAAGGUUAAUUGAUGGGGUUAUCCGUAAGGAGAAGCUCUUGAUCGAAGCCCCGGUAAACGGCGGCCGUAACUAUAACGGUCCUAAGGUAGCGAAAUUCCUUGUCGGGUAAGUUUCCGACCUGCACGAAAUGGCGUAAUGAUGGCCAGGCUGUCUCCACCCGAGACUCAGUGAAAUUGAACUCGCUGUGAAGAUGCAGUGUACCCGCGGCAAGACGGAAAGACCCCGUGAACCUUUACUAUAGCUUGACACUGAACAUUGAGCCUUGAUGUGUAGGAUAGGUGGGAGGCUUUGAAGCGUGGACGCCAGUCUGCGUGGAGCCAACCUUGAAAUACCACCCUUUAAUGUUUGAUGUUCUAACGUUGGCCCCUGACCGGGGUUGCGGACAGUGUCUGGUGGGUAGUUUGACUGGGGCGGUCUCCUCCCAAAGCGUAACGGAGGAGCACGAAGGUUAGCUAAUCCUGGUCGGACAUCAGGAGGUUAGUGCAAUGGCAUAAGCUAGCUUGACUGCGAGCGUGACGGCGCGAGCAGGUGCGAAAGCAGGUCAUAGUGAUCCGGUGGUUCUGAAUGGAAGGGCCAUCGCUCAACGGAUAAAAGGUACUCCGGGGAUAACAGGCUGAUACCGCCCAAGAGUUCAUAUCGACGGCGGUGUUUGGCACCUCGAUGUCGGCUCAUCACAUCCUGGGGCUGAAGUAGGUCCCAAGGGUAUGGCUGUUCGCCAUUUAAAGUGGUACGCGAGCUGGGUUUAGAACGUCGUGAGACAGUUCGGUCCCUAUCUGCCGUGGGCGCUGGAGAAUUGAGGGGGGCUGCUCCUAGUACGAGAGGACCGGAGUGGACGCAUCACUGGUGUUCGGGUUGUCAUGCCAAUGGCACUGCCCGGUAGCUAAAUGCGGAAGAGAUAAGUGCUGAAAGCAUCUAAGCACGAAACUUGCCCCGAGAUGAGUUCUCCCUGAGACUUUAAGUCUCCUGAAGGAACGUUAAAGACGAUGACGUUGAUAGGCCGGGUGUGUAAGCGCAGCGAUGCGUUGAGCUAACCGGUACUAAUGAACCGUGAGGCUUAACCUU